This 253-nucleotide ribosomal RNA is filed under the name uncultured bacterium. RNAcentral describes it as "partial 16S ribosomal RNA". It matches the Rfam family "Bacterial small subunit ribosomal RNA", at positions 524 to 776 of the family's 1533-position model. The record is from RNAcentral.
UACGUAGGGGGCAAGCGUUGUCCGGAAUCAUUGGGCGUAAAGCGCACGUAGGCGGAUUGCUAAGUCAGGGGUGAAAUCCUGGAGCUCAACUCCAGAACUGCCUUUGAUACUGGCGAUCUCGAGUCCGGGAGAGGUGAGUGGAACUGCGAGUGUAGAGGUGAAAUUCGUAGAUAUUCGCAAGAACACCAGUGGCGAAGGCGGCUCACUGGCCCGGUACUGACGCUGAGGUGCGAAAGCGUGGGGAGCAAACAGG